Balaenoptera musculus (blue whale) is the source of this 445-nucleotide long non-coding RNA. RefSeq lists it as uncharacterized. The transcript has 3 exons. NCBI's taxonomy places the organism in Eukaryota, Metazoa, Chordata, Mammalia, Artiodactyla, Balaenopteridae. The record is from RefSeq and is a predicted model, not a curated record.
AGCGGACCGUGGAGGCCGGGUGCAGCCCCGUCGGCUCCGCGCUCUCGGCAGAAAAGGCUUUUAUACGCCCCCUGCCCAUCACUUGGAUCUGAUCUGGGUAAGGGGGGGAUUUUUUUCUGGAAGUAACCCCCCCCCACCCACGGUGAAGGAUUUGAGGCUGGGCUCCAAUCGAGGAGGAGGCUGCAGGGCCCGCGGGGCGCCCCCCACCCCGAGCACGCCUCCCGGGAGCCCUGGAAGGCGCAGCCCCGGGGGGCCCCCUGCACCCCCGGAGGAGGCAGCGGCGGCUUGAUCUCCAUCGCUUCACAUAACUACCAUACGAAGUAGGAGUUACUGCCCUCAUUUUCUAAAUAACAUCGUAACCACCAACAUAUAUUGAGUGUUUUAUACGAAGUAAGCACUUUACAGCAUUUGUGUCCUCAAGCUUCAUCCAUGCUGGGCUUCCCUG